AGCAGUAGCCGCGGGAAUACAGAGGGUGCGAGCGUUAAUCGGAUUUACUGGGCGUAAAGCGUGCGUAGGCGUCUUUUUAAGUCGGAUGUGAAAUCCCUGAGCUUAACUUAGGAAUUGCAUUCGAUACUGGGAAGCUAGAGUAUGGGAGAGGAUGGUAGAAUUCCAGGUGUAGCGGUGAAAUGCGUAGAGAUCUGGAGGAAUACCGAUGGCGAAGGCAGCCAUCUGGCCUAAUACUGACGCUGAGGUACGAAAGCAUGGGGAGCAAACAGGAUUAGAUACCCCUGUAGUCCCUGUCUCUUAUAC
Molecule: ribosomal RNA, 303 nt
Filed under: uncultured bacterium
Lineage: Bacteria
Description: partial 16S ribosomal RNA
Rfam family: Bacterial small subunit ribosomal RNA
Source: RNAcentral